RNAcentral lists this ribosomal RNA (468 nucleotides) under uncultured bacterium. Its description in RNAcentral is "partial 16S ribosomal RNA". It matches the Rfam family "Bacterial small subunit ribosomal RNA", at positions 28 to 507 of the family's 1533-position model. The record is from RNAcentral.
GACGAACGCUGGCGGCGUGCUUAACACAUGCAAGUCGAACGGAAAGGCCCUGCUUUUGUGGGGUGCUUGAGUGGCGAACGGGUGAGUAACACGUGAGUAACCUGCCCUUGACUUUGGGAUAACUUCAGGAAACUGGGGCUAAUACCGGAUAGGAGCUCCUGCUGCGUGGUGGGGGUUGGAAAGUUUCGGCGGUUGGGGAUGGACUCGCGGCUUAUCAGCUUGUUGGUGGGGUAGUGGCUUACCAAGGCUUUGACGGGUAGCCGGCCUGAGAGGGUGACCGGCCACAUUGGGACUGAGAUACGGCCCAGACUCCUACGGGAGGCAGCAGUGGGGAAUAUUGCACAAUGGGCGGAAGCCUGAUGCGGCAACGCCGCGUGCGGGAUGACGGCCUUCGGGUUGUAAACCGCUUUCGCCUGUGACGAAGCGUGAGUGACGGUAAUGGGUAAAGAAGCACCGGCUAACUACGUG